RNAcentral lists this ribosomal RNA (301 nucleotides) under uncultured bacterium. Its description in RNAcentral is "partial 16S ribosomal RNA". It matches the Rfam family "Bacterial small subunit ribosomal RNA", at positions 509 to 809 of the family's 1533-position model. The record is from RNAcentral.
CAGUAGCCGCGGGAACACGUAGGGUGCAAGCGUUAAUCGGAAUUACUGGGCGUAAAGCGUGCGCAGGCGGUUAUAUAAGACAGAUGUGAAAUCCCCGGGCUCAACCUGGGAACUGCAUUUGUGACUGUAUAGCUAGAGUACGGCAGAGGGGGAUGGAAUUCCGCGUGUAGCAGUGAAAUGCGUAGAUAUGCGGAGGAACACCGAUGGCGAAGGCAAUCCCCUGGGCCUGUACUGACGCUCAUGCACGAAAGCGUGGGGAGCAAACAGGAUUAGAUACCCCCGUAGUCCCUGUCUCUUAUAA